AAUCAAGAUUAUGUUUUUUUAUUAUAUAUGUAUUAUGAAUGUUAAUUUUCUCUACUUAUUUCCACUUCUUAGAUAGUAACACAAAGUAACAAUCUUUCUAUAGCACGACUGAUUUACACUAUGAUGGCCUUUGUCCUUGUAUUCGGACACAUGAGUCUAUAUUGUGUAUUAGGAGAAAUUUUAGUUAUUCAGUGCGACGGGAUUUACGAUGCUGUUUGCCAAUACGAAUGGUACAAUUUGGAGCCCAAGCAAGCAAAGAAUUUUCUGAAUAUACUGAUGGAAACUAGAAGACCAUUGCAUCUUACUGCGGGAAAACUCUUUCCUAUGACAAUAGCUACAUUAUGUAAUCUUAUUCCACGGAUAUUCUCCUGAAAAAGAAACUUACAUACAACACUGUAAUAGAUAUAAUAGUAAUAGAUUUAACAAAUCAUCGUUGGAGCCAGUAUCGCUGCAAAUAAAAAUUCUACAAAAGCUGCAAUUUGACAAAAUAAUAGUCACUUCAUUCAGUUUAUGUAAACAAAAAGUGCAUCAAUAUCUUUAACAGUUUAGGUAUUACAAACUUCCGGCGGCUAUAUAUCAGUUCUAUUGGCACAUCGCAGGUGAACUGAAAAUCACCUGGACCAAUAUGUCAUCGAAUUAUUAAGUAUUAUUAAUAAUAGCAAAUUAUAUCAAAAAAUUGCUAUGAGAGAAAAACAGGCGGUAGGCAGAAACACUCUAGAAACUAGACGUAGGCACUCUAGAAACACGGUAGCAGAAGAACCUUCAAGAAUAUUUAAAUUUGUGCGUUUCUGUAUAGACAGAACUUUUUAGAAAUUUCAUAUUAAAAAUAUACUAUAUAAUAGUAAGAAAAGGAUAUGGUUUGUUUCAUUAUCUUAUAUUUUAUCUCAAUUUGCAAUAAAUGUUCAGUAAUG
RNA transcript from Ooceraea biroi (clonal raider ant), 911 nucleotides. It is a transcript of the gene named putative odorant receptor 83c, with no coding region annotated. The record is from RefSeq and is a predicted model, not a curated record. Lineage: Eukaryota; Metazoa; Arthropoda; Insecta; Hymenoptera; Formicidae.